AUGGGAAGAGAAAUUACUGGCUCACAUGCCUGAAGAGUGUGAGGUGAUGCAUAAUGUUGGCUCAAGGAUGUGAAGAGGGCCUGGUGUUUCUCUCACCGUUGCCAUCUCUACUUCUUAGCUCCCUUAGCUCCAUCUCAUUUCCUUAGUAACGUAGCUAACGCGUGAAGUUGACCGCCUGGGGAGUACGGCCGCAAGAUUAAAACUCAAAGGAAUUGACGGGGACCCGCACAAGCGGUGGAUGAUGUGGAUUAAUUCGAUGCAACGCGAAAACCUUACCUACCCUUGACAUGGCCGGAAUCCUGAAGAGAUUCGGGAGUGCUCGAAAGAGAACCGGCGCACAGGUGCUGCAUGGCUGUCGUCAGCUCGUGUCGUGAGAUGUUGGGUUAAGUCCCGCAACGAGCGCAACCCUUGUCCUUAGUUGCUAC
Molecule: ribosomal RNA, 425 nt
Filed under: uncultured Burkholderia sp.
Lineage: Bacteria; Pseudomonadati; Pseudomonadota; Betaproteobacteria; Burkholderiales; Burkholderiaceae
Description: bacterial SSU rRNA
Rfam family: Bacterial small subunit ribosomal RNA
Source: RNAcentral